RNAcentral lists this ribosomal RNA (250 nucleotides) under uncultured bacterium. Its description in RNAcentral is "partial 16S ribosomal RNA". It matches the Rfam family "Bacterial small subunit ribosomal RNA", at positions 524 to 773 of the family's 1533-position model. The record is from RNAcentral.
UACGGAGGGAGCAAGCGUUACUCGGAAUUAUUGGGCGUAAAGGGCGCGUAGGCGAUUUGACAAGUCUUGUGUGAAAGCCCCGGGCUUAACUCGGGAAGUGCACAAGAAACUGUUGAAUUUGAGUUCCGGAGAGGAAGGCAGAAUUCCCGGUGUAGCGGUGAAAUGCGUAGAUAUCGGGAGGAAUACCAGUGGCGAAGGCGGCCUUCUGGACGGAUACUGACGCUGAGGCGCGAAAGCCAGGGGAGCAAAC